UACAGAGGGCUCAAGCGUUGUUCGGAUUCAUUGGGCGUAAAGGGCGCGUAGGCGGCAAGGCAAGUCGGGUGUGAAAGCUUGGGGCUUAACCCCGAAAGGGCACUCGAAACUGCGUUGCUAGAGGGCCGGAGAGGAGAUCGGAAUUCACGGUGUAGCAGUGAAAUGCGUAGAGCUCGUGAGGAAGACCGGUGGCGAAGGCGGAUCUCUGGACGGCCCCUGACGCUGAGGCGCGAAGGCUAGGGGAGCAAACGGG
Molecule: ribosomal RNA, 253 nt
Filed under: uncultured bacterium
Lineage: Bacteria
Description: partial 16S ribosomal RNA
Rfam family: Bacterial small subunit ribosomal RNA
Source: RNAcentral